GACAGAGGUGCCAAGCGUUAGGCGGAAUCACUGGGCUUAAAGCGUGUGUAGGUGGAUUUGUAAGUACCUUGUGAAAUCCCAUGGCUCAACCAUGGAACUGCUCGGUAUACUGCGAAUCUAGAGCCACUUAGGGGCUACCGGAACAAAUGGUGGAGCGGUGAAAUGCGUAGAUAUCAUUUGGAACGCCAAUGGUGAAAACAGGUAGCUGGGAGUGUGCUGACACUGAGACACGAAAGCCAGGGGAGCGAACGGG
This 253-nucleotide ribosomal RNA is filed under the name uncultured bacterium. RNAcentral's name for it is "partial 16S ribosomal RNA". It matches the Rfam family "Bacterial small subunit ribosomal RNA", at positions 524 to 776 of the family's 1533-position model. The record is from RNAcentral.